Molecule: ribosomal RNA, 468 nt
Filed under: uncultured bacterium
Lineage: Bacteria
Description: partial 16S ribosomal RNA
Rfam family: Bacterial small subunit ribosomal RNA
Source: RNAcentral
GACGAACGCUGGCGGCGUGCUUAACACAUGCAAGUCGAACGGAAAGACCCUGCGUUUGUGGGGUGCUCGAGUGGCGAGCGCGGGAGUAACACGUGAGUAACCUGCCCUUGUCUUUGGGAUAACUUCAGGAAACUGGGGCUAAUACCGCAUAGGAGAUACUGCUGCAUGGGGGGGGUUGGAAAGUGUCGGCGGUGUGGGAUGGUCUCGCGGCUUAUCAGCUUGUUGGUGGAGUAGUGGCUUUCGAAGGGUUCGACGGGUAGCCGGCCUGAGAGGGUGGCCGGGCACAUGACGACUACGAUACGGCCCAGAAUCGUACGGGAGGCAGCAGUGGGGAACAUUGCACAACGGGGGCAAGCCUGAUGUAGCAACCCCGCGUGCGGGAUGAUGGGCUUCGGGUUGUAAACCAAUUUCGCAUGUGCUGAAGCGUGCGUGACGGUAAUGGGUCAAGAAGCACCGGCUAACUACGUG